This is a non-coding RNA of Coturnix japonica (Japanese quail), 2653 nucleotides long. The record is from RefSeq and is a predicted model, not a curated record. NCBI's taxonomy places the organism in Eukaryota, Metazoa, Chordata, Aves, Galliformes, Phasianidae.
CGCUCCGCUCUGACUGGGGGAAGCGGCGGCAGCAGGCCCCGAGCGCCUCACGUGACCCGCCGCUUCCGCCAGCCGCCGCCAGGGGGCGCAGCCGCCGCCGGCCUCGAGUGCCAUGUUGGAGCCGGCGCUGGGGGCGACUCUGUGCCCGACCGAGGGGUCUCCCCGCUCCCUCACGCCCUGUUUGCCAACGUCCCCUCACAGACGGCGCCCCCCGAGUCGGACCGAGCCCCCCGACCCACAUCCCGCUGUCACGCGGCGCUGUCCCGCCCACCACGAAGCUGCCCUCAGUCCCGGUGCCGGGCGCUGCCCGCCGCUCUCCCCGACCCUCAGCUGAAAUUGCCCUGAGGCCGCUGCCCCGCGGGGAGGAGCUGCGAGUCCAUCCCCGACUCACCGUCUCCCAGCGCCUGGAUACAAACGCCCGUUACCGGUUCCUCGAUCGCCUCGCGCUCUCACGGCAGUUCCAUCGUUCCAUCGUCCCCCGGCUGUGCAUCCCGACCGGGACAGCUACGAGCGGGUAGGAACGGGCUGUGCCCACCUGCGGACACGGCAGCUGGAACCGAACUGACAACGGAGCAGAACUGCUGUCACUAUGAAUGUGAUAUUGAGGAGUGACCAUCCGUGCUGCUCCGGGCUGUGAGCAACGCGUGGCAUUGGGAACGGGGAGGAAGAAUAAAAACAGCACAGGAACCGCUUAGGAGAGAGCCUAAGGCUGCUACCACAGAAAACAUUAAGAUAUUGGAACAAUAAAGCUGCAAACAGAUGAAGAGAAGCCAGGAAAAAAACCCACUAAUUCACAGAAAUAGAUCUCCAGCCUGUUGUAUGGAAGCCUAAGAUGUUAAAGAAUCUACUGAGUGCUCGCUCAGGUGAGCUACAACUCCAACCAGUGGGAGCUGCAUGUAAGGAAAUCUUUUUAUUUGCAGGUAACUUAAAAAGUUUAUUGCAAGUACCCAACGCUCAACUGUUUUGUUAUAAACAGGAAAUGAAACACUGCCCGUUCUGAGAACUUAAAUAGGAGCAAAGAACACAGAGCUCAGUAUCUCAUGUCUGCAGUAAAAGAUUCAUUUCAGUGCAUGAUUCACUUAAGGCCCCUCUCACCCCCCAGCAAAGCUCAGUUUUGUUCUUUUCUGUAACUCAGCUCAACAUAUAGGUGAACAUGGGGAAUAUCUGAGAGCUGGUGAUACUUAUUCACUGAUGUUGAAGUCACAAGGAAAUAAGACAGACCCUCCUGGCUGUAGGCUUGUUCUGACAGCAGAAGUCAGUCUGCCUCCAUAGAUGACAGAACGGGACGCUGUGCCUGUUUGUAACAGCGAACAAACUGCCCUCUCCAUCAUCAUCCACCUGUCGAUUUCAGCCCUUUGGUGCAGGUGAUGGAUAAGGCCUCCAUUCCUGAGGGAAUUCAAAUCACUCAGAUGAUCCUGGUCAAGUUAUUACUCAGAACGAGCAGCGGAGGUUCCUUUAAAGUAUUCCUCAAUGCAACAGCAACCCCUAUUAAGCCUUUGUUAACUCUGUUUUGGGCUAUUCGGUGUGAUGCUAGGUGUCCCCUGGGUAUCUCAUGAACCUCCUGCAGUAACUGUAACAGGAGAUAAAACAAAUUUAGAGCUUAUUUCUAGAAGGUGCUAAGGAUGCUGACCCUGAUACAGAAUUGCUUAAUUUUAAGCACAUGAAAGAGCCACUGGAAUGAAGAGAUUACUACCAUGCCUGAAGUUAAAAGCAUUCUCACUGGUCUUUCUGGAUUAGAAUCAGAACAUUUAUCCAGUGGGAUCUAAUUCUUAAAUCCUCAGGAUUGUACUCCACAUUUAAUCUUGAACGUAUCAAUUCAGAUUAAAUGAUGCAAAACCAGCCAGAUUGUUGUUAUCAGUGUAAUUAAAAUACCUUUUAGUUAUCUCUGAAAUUGUUAUUUGGAAAAUACAGACCAUUUCUCAUUUAUGUGGAGUUACAUUUUAAUGCUGCUCUGAUUAAAAACAGACAGAAAUGACAUUUCAAAUAAGUAAAAUCCUCCUUACAGUUGCCAAAUAAUGUAAAAGACCUCAUCAUGAAGGUGAAUUUGGCUUCAUAUUCAUCAUAUGGCAAUAUAAGGUACAGUUCAUAAACUUGAGAAGACUUGGAAUUCAGCUGCCAUUAACACAACACACAGUUAAAGGCUGAGGUGAUUUCACUGCUUUGUAUGAAUUCUGAAACAGAAUUUGGAAGCCAUGGGUACAGAGAAAACAACAGAUGCUGGUCUAUUUUUGUUGUUAAAAUCAUACAAAAGAUUCCAUCUUGCUUGGAAUAAGGUCUCUAGAUUUGUCUCUGAAAUACAACACAGACCAAAAUUCUUUCCUCCCGGUGAGGCUGUUUAUCAUCAGAUUCAUCAAGAGAAAAUUAGUCUAAUAGUUGGCUACUAAAAAGGGGAAAGCUGAAAAGCCAGACGUUCCCUUCCUAUUUACAAUUAGUAGAAGUGCACACAGGGUGAAAAACCUGACAUGAUUUCUUUAGAACAGAGUCAAAAGUUGAUGUGUUCAGUGGCAGGCAGCUAUUCCUAAAAAGACCCAUCAGUCCAGGGAGCUCAGACGAUGGGACCAAUAAGCUGCUUCCUGAGGCGUUAUAUAAUUGUUGGUACAUAGCAGAGGGGUUUCAUUAUCCAAGAAAGUGAAUAAAAUUACUUUUCAUUCUA